GGGGGAUUGGGUGGGUUUGUUUUGUUUGUUUGUGUUUGUUUUGUCUGGAGAUGGAUUCUCCUGCCUCAGCAUCCCUAGUGCUGUGGUGCUGGGCAUGUGCACCACAUUCAGCUCUCUGUCUUUGCUAUUGUGGCUCACCCAGCAUGAACCUCAAUCCUCAGCAUGGUGUAACCGACUCAGAAGACUUGGAAUUCCACAGAGUGCAGCAUCCUUCCUGAUGUGAAGGGACAUCCUUUCAUCUAUGAAUUUGUUUUUAAUGUUUUGGAUUCCCUGCCUUAGGGACCAUUUACCCCAUUUCCACAGGCUUUGUCUUGACACACCCAUCCGUCCACAUCUCUCUUGACAUCUCUUUGUGUUUACUAGAUUCCUAACCUGUCCUCUGUUAGCAGUGCCUGUCGGCCAGGCCUGCCGCUCCUUACCGUUGCCACUGUAUUUAUAAAUGGUAUACAACGUUGGUGCCCGUCCUAGCUUUAACUGUCAACUUGACACAGCUCAGAGUCACCUGAGAGAGGACUCUUAAUUGAAAGAUUGCAUCAGCAUGUGGGCAAGUCUCUGGGGAAUGGUAUUGGUUUUAAACUGAUGUAGGAGGGCCAAGCUGGUUGUGGGUAACAGGAUUCCCUGGACAGGUAGUCUGUGUGAGAAGCUAAGUCUAAGUCUGCAAGCCUCCGUGGUUUCUGCUUCAGGAUCCUGCAGCAAUGGGCUGUGUGGCCUGGGAUUGUGAGCCAUACCCUUUCAUCCCCUAAGUUGCUUUGGUCUCAGCAACAGGAUGAAACCGGAACAGUCUGGAUUCUCACUCCGUUCCCUUAGGACUGUUUGCUUUUUAUUUAUUUUAACUAACUCGAUUUAAGUGUCUGUUGUAAAUUUAAGGAAUACAGGACCUGGCACAUACGAGCUGAGAUUUCUACCACUCAACUACAUCUCUAACCCUAAUGAAGUGACUGGGUUAAACUGAUACAAUAUAACCCCUCCCUUUCCUGUCUUCAGACUCAACCUUCGCCUCUCACCCCAGGGCCCAGUGGUAGUAAACUAGCUUUUUAUGUUAAUACCACCAGAUCCGAAUCCCUUUAUAACUCUGUGCUUUGCAUAAAGAUCAUUUAACAACUGUACCGCUGCCCUGGUGUGAGUCAGGAUGGGCAGGAAAGGCUGCAGCAGUGUGCAACCUCUGACCCGGGACGCUUAACUUAGAACAGCACCCCCAGUGGGUGCUACCCAUGGGAGAACGUUCUGCUUCACGGUGUUCCCAGAGUCCUGUGUGAAAGGAAGACACCAUUAUUAGCUACACGCUCCCUACAGUGAGUGGGAAUUGUGAUAAAUUGACUGCCAUGACUCAUGACUUUCGGUCGGAUGGGACCCCUGUCAUUUCUGCUUGGUUUUCAUUGGCCAGUGUUGAGCCCAUGGAGACAGCUUCAAAGGCAGUAGAAGCAAAUACUGUGUGCCCAGAGGAGGAAAACUGGGCUGUUCCCAGGCAGAUGGUUUUAAUGUCCACACUGCCGAUGGUCUUCAAUGCAGAGCUCGUGACUCACUGUUGGUUCCGGCAUUCCAUCUCUAUCUUCUGGGUGUGAGAGCCCUUGGGGGAGAAGGGACGGGGCGCACACAGCAACUGGCAACAUCAUGUCCCUGUCCCAUGGUCACUGUGUCACAAGGUCACUGUGCCAGAGACACUGCCACCCACGACCACCUCACGCUUGAAAAACCUUACAAUUCCAAAACCAAAGUAAAGAGAGGUUCAACCUAUCCAGUGUCCUGCUGGUGACCAGGGGCUCAGAACGGAAAGCAUUCCAGGUCUUCCUCACGGUCACCCUGGAUGGAGCACAGUCUGUGCCACACUGGGUUUCGACUCCGCUACUUUGUGUUCUGCUGCGGCACUCAUACACUCAACAGCUUUUCUCUUUUCCUCCCUUCCUUCCUUUCAUGUUUUGAUAUCAGGUCUCCUGUAGCACAUGCCGUCUGCAGACUCACAGCACAUUUCUGUUGUGCUUGAGGGUGGAGCCUUAGGCCUUCUCCGUGCCUACUGUGAACACUCUAGCAACUGCGCCAUAUCUCCACGCACUCGUAUCUCAUCUGUUGGCUUUGGAGGAGCAUGACCUCACUCGGGGAAUAAAGCCCUAAGUAAACAUGGCCGAGUCCCGGUGACCCACUAGUGUCUUACAUGUGUGGGACUCCCCCUUGACUACGUAUAACUGAAAAGGCAAAAUAAUAAUGAUUCUGGCAGUUACAGCUGGAUGGACUUGUGUGGUGUGACUCAUUAAAACUGUGUGAUCUUACGCCCUGGGACAUCUCUCCCCCUUCUUCUUUUUUUUUUUUUUUUUUUUUUCUUCCUUUAUUGGCGCAGGGUUUUUCUGUGUAUCCCUGGCUAUCCUGAAACUCGUUCUGUAGACCAAGCUGGGCCCUGGAACUCAGAGAUUCACUUGCCUCUGUCUCCCUAGUGCUGGGAUUAGAGGCAUGUGCUACCACUGCCUUGGCGACGUUUCUCUUUUUCUAUGAGGUCACAAGAUUCACACGGCCACCUUAGUUAAUGAAAAAUUCACAAGAAUCUGAAGUCUUUCAGGCUCUCCCACUGAAGGGAAGGAAGUGUGUUAUGGGCCGCUGGCUGCAAAUGGUGGUUGCCUUUAGAUGCAAACAGGGUGAGUUUUGAUGCUUGGUCUGCAUCGGGCUCCCCCUCCCCCUCCCCCUUGUACAGAGUGGGUGGUAGAGCUGGGGUCCUGCGUUCUGGGCCGUGAGUCAAGGAACAGCGCUUGAGUAGAGGACAGAGACCACAGUAAGCCUGCUUGUCUGCUGUGCGCCUGAGAGGAAGGAAAGCAUCAUUGAGUGGGGCAGGAAGUGCCAAGGCCCUGAGGUAGGGACAUGCUCGACAAAUCAAAGAGGCAGGAAGGAGGUCAAGGACCAAGCUUCUGCUCUACCCCACCACUCUUCACAGCUGUCCAGUCUGAGCCUCCAAGUUCCGGUGAGAAGCAAUUACGGACAUAACUGGUUUGCCCUCCAUGGGAGGAGUGCUCUCUGCUUUGUAACUCGGUGAGGAUGAGGGGUGCUAGAGGAGGAAAGUCAAUCCUAAGCAGAAAAUAGGAGACAUUUCCUGGGAGGGUUUUUCUUUGGAAGUGGGUCUCUCUUGUGGCUGAGGGCAGGCCACAGAUGGACUCUGGCCUUUGAGUAGACAAUGUGUUCCUUCCUCGGCAAAGCAUACGUGUGGCAUCUGGAUCCUGUAUACAGGUGGAGGGCCAGGCAUCGGUGAGAUCCUGGGACGGGCUUUCUCUGCUCUUCUGCUUGGUAAAGGGUUCGGUUACAUUGACCCAGCACUGCUGGGUCAGAGACUGUGUAAGGCAGGAGCUGUCUGCCCCUCACCAAGGACAGCGUAGGAACUCGGGUCCCUCUAGGGCUGACCUGCUGAGCCUGAGCUUCAGCCUUGGUGCCUCAGGUACUGUGAGUGGCUAGCCGGGUCUUUGUGGCAGGAUGCCACGUGUGAGCCCGUCACUGCGGAUCUCUUGAUGUCCUUGAGAGGAAAGGAGCUGGACCCAGGCUAAUGGGAUCUGAUGCUGAUGGAGCCACACCCCGAUGCUGCCAAUGUUCAGAUGACCAGGCUGCAUUCUUGUUACCUCCGGAUGCAGAUGUCACCAGUUUAGUCAUCUGUCCCAUUUCUGGAAAGGUCCAUAAUGCCUGAAGAAGGAGAAACCCCUUCGUAGUGAAUGCUGAACACACACAUGCUCCCUCAAGUCAGGAGGAAGUGAGGCUUCCCCUGCCAGCUUCUCUCCACCCCCCACCCUAUCCCCCUUGCUUGAUUCUGCAAACCUGAGACCUACCCCAGAGCUGUGGCACUGCAGUGGGUGAGCAGAGAUUUAAGUGGCUGAUGCCAUUGUUCCCUCUUCACAAACCUCUUGUUUUUAUAAGAAUAAACUUACUCGGCCCUUUUGCUCCCGGGAAGGGGAAAACUUCAGAAGGGUCUGUUCUUGAUGUCAGUGGGGACAGAACCAUCUCCCGGGUACACACCCAGCUACAGGCUUGCUAUGCGUGACUCCUGGGUGAAACCCAUCGCUUUAUUUCGCCUCCACCACUGGUCCUUGGGUGGUCCUUGCCCAAGUCAUCCAUCACUGGCUCUCUGUCCCCUGUCCUGCCCUCUCAGCCAGGCCUGGGCAGAGUCUGGCCUUGCUGUUGGUCACGUGCGGGGUUCGCUGCCAUGGCUUCUCCAGGCCCACGGAGGGCAGCCUCGUGGAUGCUCCUGGGCUUUCCAGGAUCAGCUUAGAGUUGUUCCUGCCUGCAGCAGCUUGCUGGCCGGUGGCCAGGGUUUUGUUUACUGCUCUCAGAGCAGACAUUCUCCUUCCUCCCGCCUGGGCCAUUUUCUGAAGACAUUAAGCUCUUGGCUCACUGUCCUCGCCUCCUGCUUCCGGCUGCGCUGCCUGGCACAACCACGUCCUGUCAAGUGGCUGAGCCAGCUCUGAGUUCCUCUGUCCUCCCAGCAUAGCGGGGGCCCACGGCAAGGCCCGCUUCGGGUCCUCUGGCCAGGGCCCUUUCCCUUUAUGUUGCUCUCCUCCUGAGAGUUAUUAAAAUGGGUACAUUCCCCAAGGUUUUGAAGACAGGGUAGGCACAUUGUAGCUUCUCCCUGGCAGUCAAAAGUUCAAAUAAUGACUUGAGUGUGAGUCCAGUGUGUGUCUGCCAUCUUGUGUGGAGUCAGCUGGUGCCUGGGUUUGCCUUCCACAGUCUAAGUCCCAGCCUCUUCUGGAAGUGAACUUAACCCCCAGGCACCCCAGGCAGGCCAGCGAAAGACAAGGGCAGCUGACAAGGACUUUAGACUUCUUGCCUGGCAUUCUCCUAGGACAGGACAACAAGCUUCCAGGAUCAGGAGGGGACCCUCUCUUCCUGCUUCACCCUGCUCUGUACUCACAUCCCCAUCGCUCCACAGAAAGUUACCUGGAGGGAGCCAGGCGCCGCUGACAACCAGGCUCAAGCCUGAGUCAAUAGCCACACCUGAGGCAGAGAGUCCGCAGGGAAGCAGCUUCCAGCCAGCUCCCUUCAAGAGCCUCCACUCGUGGAUGUUUAUCCGGUGACUCAGUCAGGAUCCGGGGCCAGAUGGUUAGCUUCUUGACUGUUUAAGGAAAGCUCCCACCCUAAAGGGGCCUCACGCUGCUGCUUCUACUCCGAAGCUCCAGCCUUUCGUUAAAGUGUUUUUACCAGCUAUCUUGGGGGAGGAAAAAAGGAACGUUUCCUUUUUAUUCAAGGACAGGUACAGAUUCGUCAGACUUUUAAUUGCAACAUGGCCCAUACUACAAGUUAAUGAAGAACGAAUGGAAGGAAGCCUAUCAGUCUCUCUGUCUGUCUGUCUCUGUCCAUCUCUCUCUCUGUCUCUGUCUCUCUCUCUGUGUGUGUAUAUGUGUGGUGUGUGUGCAUGCGCAUAUGGUGUGUGUGUGUUUGUUUGUGUGUGUGCGCACGCGCACGUGUGCACUGACGGGUGCACCUAUAGUGGUCAAUUACUAAAGGUUAUUUUUUGAGACAGAAUCUUUUAUUGAACUUGGGGCUCACAAUUCAGCUGGGCUGGUUUGCCAGCAUGCCCCAAGGAUCUGUCUGCAUGUCUCUGCUCCCCCAGUGCUGGGGUGACUGGCAAUAUGACCGCACCCCAUUUUUAUGUGGGUGUUGGUGACUCACUCUUUUAAGAUUUUCCUGAGCGAGCCAUCUCCCUAACCCCCUCUGUAUUGCUUUGUAGACAAUAAAAAACUCCUUUUUAUUUGUAAAAUACCACUCUGUAAAUGAAGGAAGCUAGGAAGAACCAUCUAUAUGGAACUCAGUGAUCAGUGAACUUCUAUAUGGUCAGGGAAGGAUAGAUUAGGGACAUCAACCAUACAGGGACUGAAGGAGAGACACUAGGCGUCAACCCAGGCUGGUGUGUCUUUGGGCAGAAAGAUGUAUCACUAACUUCUCAGGCUAUGUUACCUGCAGACUGAGUUCCCUUAGCCUAUCUUUAAUCAAGAUGGCGUCGUCAGAAAUCAGGCUGCGGCCGCUCCCAAUCUGCCAGUCUCUUCCCCCAGAACCUCACAGAUGCUAGACAGGUACUCCAUCACUAAACCAUCAGCCUAGGCUGGCCUUGAACUCAUGAUCCUCCUGCCUCAGCCUCCGAGGUAGUUGGGCUUUUCUUUAUAUCGCUUGCCAAAGCCUAAUGGAUGAGUAGUGAAAUGAAGGUAAGCAGGGUGAGACAAGGUUCCUUUUGUGGCAAACGCAAACUUUGACCUCUCUCCCACGUAAAUGAACCCCCAGGGACUGAUGCUAGAUUGAUCUGAUGCCUCUGCCAUGAUCACCCAUCCACCCGAGGUAGAGAGGUCUUCUGUCGGAGUCACUGAUUUUAGGAUAAGUGAUGAGCAUUCAAAUGAUCCUAUAAGAAAUCCUGAAGGCCCUUCGCUAAUUGGGUUGCUCUGUGAGAAGGUGGGGGGGGAGGGCAGAAUCAUCCCCUAUAUUCUAAACUUCGGGGUCUCCCCAUCCCAUCACUAUAUACUGCUCCCUGAGAUGCUCCCUCUUGCAGAGAACAGAUCCUGCCGUGCAUCCACCCAUGGCGAUGCCCCAUCAUCCCUACGCAGCCUCUCUGGGAAGCUAGGGCACACACCCGUUCCAGUAGCCCCGAGACUUGCUGUGUGGCCAACAGGCUGUGGAGACAGUGAGAGGGUCCGUGCCAGCUAGGGUUACCCUUUAAUCCAACUUCCUUUUCCACAGGACACUAGGGCCCUGCUCCUCUCUUCGCUGCGGUAGCUAUCAGACCAGCUGUGACAGUCUGUUGACUGUGUCCUGAGGACUAUGCUAGCUCAUCCCAGCUCUCCCUGAUCAGACCUCUGCUUGGCACUGCAGUCUCCAUGACAACCUAUAGCCGUCUCUCUCGUGCUCUCCAUCCCUGGUCUCCCUGCUUCCACCAGGAUGUUCGCCCUGCCCUCGGGAUGACCCUCUGCCUUCAGAGCUGGGCUCUUAUCCGUGCCCUCCUGUCAUGGGCCAGCAUGCUAUAGAGCUGAGCCUAUCUUCUCCAUGGCCUACUAGCCCUCUUGAGACUCCUUAGCAAGGUGUCCUGGGCUAGCUCCCUCAUUAGCACACCCUUCCCCCUUAGAAAUUUCCUUCAUCCCCCAGGCAUUUAAUGGAGUCACCAAGUCACCAACUAGGAUUAUUGCAGGUGAUCCUGAAAUGGUUCUCUGGAAAACCUCCUAACUCAUUCCCAGUGGAAACCCCAGCCCCGCCUCUGGCUCUUAGACUCCUUUGCCGUUUUCCUUCUGUUGAGCAGCUGUCGCUUGCUGAAUAUCCUGGAUGUUUGCCUGGCUACCUUUAUUGCCUCCUUCCUAUCAGAGUUUGACCUGAGUGGUUGGAUAAGCUUUGUUCAUUUCUGUGUGUGUGCACACAGUAGGCGCUCACUGAAUACCGGCCAGCUUCGUGUUACGUUUAUUGGGGGCGUUUAUUUUCCCAGCAGGUAUCACAGUGGGUCGUCUUGGAGUUGGGGAGUCCCAUGGACCCCAGGAUGGCAGGAUAGACAGCUGAUCUGUCUUUCCUCACAGCCUUUAGCUAUUCUCUUCCAUAGAGUCAAACCCUCUGCCGUACAGGACCCCAGGAUGGCAGGAUAGACAGCUGAUCUGUCUUUCCUCGCAGCCUUUAGCUAUUCUCUUCCAUAGAGUCAAACCCUCUGUUAGAGAAUUCAGUUAACUCAGUUCAUGACAUUAUUUUUUUCCCUGUGAUCACUUAAUCCUGCUCAGUCUCAAACUUCGUGUCCAAGCAGACAGGAGUGCUGAGGGAGGGCUGCCCUGGACAUCCUGUUGUUCUUCUGGGGCUCAGUGCUGGGGAGGGGUAUGCUGGGGCCCAGGGAAGGGCUUGGGGCCUCACUGGGAGGUCUGCAGGGCUCUGGCUAUGGUGCAUUCCUCACAGUUUGAUUGCCUCCAGCAGUCAGCUUGGUUGGGGGGUGAGGGGAAUGGAGAGUGUGUGAGUGUGUGUGUGUGUGUGUGUGUGUGUGUGUGUGUGUGUGUGUGUGAAGCUGAGGCUCUGUGUGGACACGUGAUCUCUCAGCUCCCCCAACCAUUGUAAGCUGCAUUCUGGGCUUUCGCAUACUUUCUCUAAUUGAGUGAGUCUGCAAAGGCCAUAGGACAGACAACACACAGGACUUAGACAUGUAACAGACACAUUCCCCAGGCGGGCUGGUAUGUGGUAAACAGGAGGCCACCUUUCCCUAUAUCUCUGUUCUCUCAUUAUGGCAAAUUCAGAUUAUAAUCAACCCCUUCGUGUAUCCACAGGUAAAUACCAGUCAGAAAACAGGGCCUUCUCAUUUCACGUCCCAGGAAAUUCUGAACUUGAUUCUGUUGAGCGUGGGUUACUCCUAGGGUCUUAGGUGUUUGCCCCGCUAGCUUUAUUGAUUCCUUUUCCUAUCAGAAUUUGACCUGAGUGGUUGGCUCAGUUUUGUUCACUCUUGCUUCUGCCCAGAGUAAGCACUCACUGAACACUGCUAGCCUCAUGGGAUGAAACAGUUGGGCGUCUCCUUUCCAGCAGGUUUAACAGUCUUCAGUCUUAGGGCUGGAGACCUCAGAAUGACUCGAGGCCCAUUGCCCAUUGCAGUACAGACCUUUUUCCCCACAAGUUGGAGCUCCAUUGUGUACAUUUUAGACCAAUCUGUUUUUUGGCAUAUGAAGUCAGCUUGCCUUGUAGCAGAUUACCAGUCAUUUCUAUGCCAUUGUACUCUAUAGUUUGAACUUAGGUUUUGUUAUUUAUUCUUUGCUGCCUUUUCUCUUUUCUUCUUCUUUUUAUAUUGUCUCCUUUUUUAUUUUUAUUUAUUUAUUUUCUUUUUGAGACUAGCUGUUAUUUCAUGGCUCAGGCUAGCCUGGAACUUAGUACAUAGCCCAGCCAGCUUCAACUGUCUUAGCCUCCCAAGUGCUGGGAUCUCAGGUACAAGCCAUUACUCCCAGCUUGCCCUUAGUUUUAUAGAGAAUGGACUCUCUGUAACAGUAAAUAAAUGUUUGUUUAAGACAACCCAAGGGGCGGGUGACAUUGUACGAAUCGUGAUCCCAACACCCAAGUCACAGAUGCGUUUAUUAUGUGGACCUCAAAGGAGGAGUAAUCGGAGUAAUCGUGGGAGAGAUGGGUUACAUCCUUAUCACCACAGCGAAACUUCCAUCACCAAAAAAACGUAAGCCCAGUUUCCAACCGGGACAGAGUUUGAUGGUUACUCAGGCAGCGGUGUGACUGCACACCUCGCUUGGCCAGAUCUUUUGUGCUCUUCAAGUACGGAGCCUACUGAGACCCCCUCCAAAACCAGGAGACAAAACAAAAGCCACGCAUCCCUGCACCGUGAGUCCUACGCACACUCCCAAGCGCUGCUGAAGAAGAUGAGAAAAAGAGAGACGGAGGAAGACCUAGGUUUAUGAAUGAGCCGUUCCUUGGGAGGUGGUGGGGGGCGAGAUGGCGGGGGCAUGUCCCCUGCUCAGCUAUCUGUGUCAUGCACCCCUAGAGGGGAGGCCGCAGUCGAGCCUGAGACAGUUCGUAGGGGCGAGGCGUCUGCACUAAUGAGGAACUCAGGGUGAGCCGCACGCACGCACGCACGUACGCACGCACGCACGCACGCACGCACGGCUGGAAGCCACAGACAGCUAGUGUGCCCAUGCGGAGGAAUCUCGCCGGCCUGCAGGCGAUCCUGAAGAAAACACUUUAAUUAAUAUGUAAAACAGCAGUGGGAAGAAAAGCCAGGUUAAUUUCCAAACCACAUCAGUGAGGGCACAUUUGGGUUAGGAAACCUUGGAGACUUAGAGGCAGGCCCCCUUGUUUGAAACCACAGAGGUGCUUUUGUCUGUGUGAGAGCAGCUCCCUAAAAGGCCCUUUUAUCUGCCCCCCACAGUGCAUUCCUUUCUUUGUACUUAAAAACAUCCCCUUGACCGGACCACGGGCUGUUGUCUUUCAUUUGCAAUGUGCCCUCUGUUCUGCUGGGGACUUGUGGGCCAGGGUAAUUUCUCCUCAUUUCUUGCUGCUCGCCCAUCUCUAAGUCAUCUUUUUUCUUGGUGCCUGUAGGCUUUUGUUUCCACACACACCCCCUCCCCCCAAUUCUCCUGCCCGUGUUUAGCCUGAGCCUUCAGCUUACCUCUGGGCAGGGGUCCAGAAUGACUUGAGCUGAAGGCAUGAAACGCAUACAGUGCCCCAUACCGGUGACUUCCUGAGAGCCUGGAGUCCUCAGAUUCAAAUGGAGGACCCAGACAGACAAACCAGGCUUUCUCACUCUGGCCUGAGAACCACUACACUGUGCUGGGAAUGAGUUCCUCCAAAAGUAUGCCUUCCUGUGGGAGUUUCCUGGCUCCUUCUCGGGCAGCACGUUUGAGAUCCCGACAUGCAGAAUAGACUGCGCUCAUCUCCACCCGUCUCCGUUGCUUCUCUCAAAUCCCUGGUACCUACCAGCUCACCCAUUCUCUCGAAGCCCUAAGAAAGGCAGGAAACUCCCCAGGUCACACAUUCCUGGGAGAAUCACACAUCCUGGGGGAUUUCUGGGGUGGACUGCUAACCUGGCAUAUUUAAGGCCUUGCAAAUGGUUCGACAGAUAUGCAGACGUCUUCACACUUUUUCAGAGGUUUCUAUCCAGGAACUGUCUGUCCCUCAGAUCCAUUUUACUCUGACCCCUAUGCCAUAGCUUGUUGGCCACUGGUUCCGGCCCAGAGAGAAGCUGUGAGCUCCUAGUUGCUAGCUCCUGUCUUCUCUAUUGUGGUGGCCAGAGAUGUCCCCCCAUCUAUCCCUAAAGCCCUAGUAACUUUAGAAAUUGCAAACACUGGUGUGGAGAUCAGAUCUCUUUGAGCUCUGCAUCUCUUGCUGACUUGAGUGCACCUUCCGAACCCUUUCCACCCACUUUCCGAUGCAUUUGAAAGUGAAGCAGGCAUUUAAGGACCGUCCAUCAAAGCAGCUCCCAUCAAAUGCUUGCAUUCUUGUGGUGGGAGAAUUGGGGCCCCUGGUGUGUGCGUUCCUGCUGAGAAGGCUCUCACCAUCUACCCUUGUCGAUGGUCUGUACCCAAGCUUCACUUUGGUCUCAGUCUCCAGGAUGACGUGACAUCAAAACUUGCCUCCUCUGGUGCACGCUUCUACUGAUAUGGAAGGAAGGUGAGCGCAGCAAGUGUGGGGUGGGUAUGCUCAAAGAACUUCAUAUACUCACGGGGCUACGUAAUCCAGUCCAAUAAAAUCAAUAGAAUAUAGAGUUUGAUAAACAAAAGAGAACAUUCCUUGCUCUCUUAACUGGUCAUUGCAGUUCUCCCAGAGUUCUCCGCUCCAGGACUCCUCAGAACUCCGUUAGAGAGCACUCCUGCAGAGGCUUAUACUGAGGCCUUAGGGUGGGGGUGUCUGGGGAGGACGUCCUCCAUUUCCAGCAUCCUUUGUUGCUUCCCCAGACGUUCGAGGGCUCAGCAACCCGGAGGCCGUGACAACCACAGCUCCUGUUCAAAGGUCUGUGCUAACAGAGAUUCUUCAAUUUUUUUUUUAAUGGAAAGCUUCAAUGAAGCUAGUGAAGUCAAUGAUGAACUGUACAGAUCAGGAGACCAAAGAUUUGUAAGGCUUCCUCUUGGACAACAUGGUGGAUACAGGACGCAUGGAGCCGGGAAGGGUUCAUCCGGGGACGGCAGUGUCCAACUUACCUGUACUUCCGUGCCUCACCCACAGGGUGCAGGUUCCCGUUUCCUCAGACCUAACCUGGACUUCUCCACCAAGAAACUCUGUGAACGUGAAGUCGUCGACGUUUUUCUAAAGGGGAUUACUUUUAAAUUCUCUCUCCCUCUAACACGCAGUGAGAUUUUGGCAGCUAGAAAAGACUCAUUCCCUAGCUAUCACCAUGGGUGAUUUUCCCAAACUACUGCUUUGGGCCAGGGGCCAUCACCCAGUCUACAGCCCCUGUGAGCACAGAGGAGGCCUCAGGCAAUCCUGCCUGAAGCACCUCUGGGUUUUGGCAUUAAAUUCAUGCUUGAAUUUGAGUAAAGAGCUUUUCUGUUUUCCUUAGGAGCAGCCAGCAAUCAUCUAAGCUAGGGAGAAAGGAUCCAUUCACCCCAUCUGCCCCAUACUGCUUUCUGUAUCUGGGAUGGGUCACUGCCUUAGCAAGCAGGCGACUUUGCCUGAAGAUUAAAACCCUGUGCUCCGAGUCUUAGGGAGCUCCUGUGUCUGAGGGGGAACUCAUUCAUACCCCUUAAUGCAGACAUCCAGGAUGCUCGCGCUAAGGGUUUAUUAAAGCUUAAUGCAAUCACAGUCUUUCUGGCUCUAUGUGAUCUCCCUCCAUUAGUAGCUUGCUGCCUGCAUCUUGCCCACAGCCAAGUGUGUCAACCCAACGAAUCAGGGAAGCAAUGCUCUGACUUGAGCAAUUAAAUCAGAGCAGACACUUGAGAGUGAAAGCCGAGGCAAACACAGGCUCUCCUUUCUGCUUGGGAACAGCUAGAUCUUCAACACUGGGUCUGUGAACAAAGCCAGCUGAUGCUGGAUCUGCUCCCGGGGCAGGUGAAGCCUAAGCUGACGGGCACAGCCCAUCCUGGCCAUCCUCUCUCUCCCUUGUUUAUCAGGUGGGUCUGACCUGGGAGGGUCUCGGAGGAAUGCCUGGGUGAGGACCAAAGGAAAAUCUGGGGGACAGAGGACAUCUGGUGGAUUGAGUCUAUUAAUGGCCAUUGUGCAAAGUGAGUUAAAGCCUACCUGAAAAGGUGGGAGUGGAGUACAUUCCUGUCUGUGCUUUGAUCACCAACAGAACAUCUGUCUGUCUGCCUGUCUGUUUGUCUGUCUGUCUCUCUGAGACAGGGUCUUUCCACAUAGCCAUGGCUGUCCUGGAAUUUACUAUGUAUACCAGAUUGGCCUCAAACUCACAGAGAUCCACCUGCCUCUGCCCCACCCCCCCAAGGUGUGCACCGCUAUAUUCAACUUUCCCUCUCUCUUUCUCUCUCUUUUUCUCUCACUCUUUCUCUUUCCUUUUUCUCAUUCUUUCUUUCUCUUUUUCUUUAUCUUUCUCUCCUCCCUCUCUCUCUCCCUCUCCCUCUCCUCCUCCCCCCACUCUGGAAUAAGGUGAGCUCCCUUUCUUUUUCCUGAUGACCACAUGGUUCCACAUUUUGAAGCACCUACAAAACGACUUGGGUGUGGUCAGACUCAGGCUGGAGGAAUCAGGAUCGCCAUCCAGCAAUGUAGGACUAUGGAGCUGGGGGCGUGGCUCUGCUGGUAACGCACCUGCCAUACCCACAAAGUCCUGGGCUCAGUCUCCAGCAUCCAUGUGUAAAAAUCUGGGCACAGCAGCAUGAGUUUACAGUCCUAGUGCAGAGAAAGUGCACACAGGUGGUUGCCUGGAACACAACGUCCAACUAGCCUUAUCGAAUUGGGAGUUCCAGGCUCACUGAGAAACCGUCUCAAAGGUGAGGUGCACAAGCGGGUGAGGCACUUGCCGCCAAGUCUAAUGACCUGACUUCAAGCUUUAGGACCCGAAUGGUGGAAGGAGAGAAUCUAAUCCCACAACGUGUCUCCCUGAUCACUAUACAUGAAUUCCUCCCGUGCAAAACAAGUGAAUAGAUAAAAAGAACUACAAGGACCCGAGUGGAUCUGAAAGGCCGCUCGCAAGACCACAGGUGGAUGGAUAGUCUAGUGUUCCCUGUGUCCACAGUUCAGCAUCCGGAGAGAAGCUGAGAAGCGCAGGCCCUCUGGUAAGCUCUGGAGGGUUCCAUUCACAAACUGCUUGGAUUUAGGCUAUAGUCUGUGUCCGAGGCCCAGUCUGACAGGGACCAGAGAUGUGCAGAGGGGUGAUUUUUCUUCCCGACUCUCUUAUCAGCCAGACGACUCGUCCAUGUGGCAUCUGCUGGUUUUUGCAGCCUUUCGCUAUUCUCGGUUCUGAAGAGAGAGAGAGAGAGAGAGAGAGAGAGAGAGAGAGAGAGAGAGAGAGAGCGCUUUCUGCUGUGGAAAAAUCAAUGUGCUUGUCUCUGACAUAGAUCUUCCACAUUGCAGGGAUAGAUGCCCAAGUGAUGCUUGCAUUGAUCACCCUGAUUCUAUCUCCGCUUGACAGAGAGACCUGAGGUUAAAUAAGAUUAUACAGCUUACUUAGGCAAUUGUUUUCAUAACAAACUUGAUGAUUUCGGAAGGAGGAGAAGGAAAGCCCUUACGUCCCUCCCUCCCCCAAACUAGGACGGUUUCCUGGCAUUUUUGAAUCCAAGGUUCUGUUUGUAGUUUCAACAGUAAAAGGUUUCAAUGUGGCUCUAUUUUGGAGCUCACCAAAUUAGCGUUUUUUGUUUAUUCCUACUUUUAUCUGAGAUUCUGUUUGGCUUGAGUCCCGCUGUCCAUGCAUGUUUGUGAACAGGAAGGAGUGUGUCCGUCGGAGCCUGUCACUAACAGGAGAAGCUGGACUGGCAGACUGCCUUGUACCCCUUUCCUCUGCAUUGCCUGGGAGGUAAAGAACUGCUGUAGCUCCAGCCUCGGGGUCCAGAAAGAGUCCUUGGGACAAUCAGCCAGGGGAUGGCCGCUGGCAUGGUACAUCAAGGAGUUUGACUCCCUCCGGUGUCCUGCCCUUACAGGGUGCUGAAGGAUCCAGAGGAGGCAAGCCUGUUUUGCAUGCUUGUGUCUCUGUUGAACACUGAGGUACACUCCCAAGUCUCUGCAGUGAGAACUUUCACCUCAGCUUUACCUGUGAGAAAGGUAACACCAGGGAAGCACUCGCCUCUGAGAAUCCUGUCCUGAGUAAGCUGGGGUUAAUCUGAAGGCUUUCUGGUUCCCCAAGUGUAGCCUGGAAACAUACAGGUGCUUGAAACAUGUAAACCGUAAACUUCAGUGUUUUAACAGUACAAACGUCAGCCUGAACCAUCGUUGUAUAAUUAUAAAAAUCCCACGUAAGUAUAAAUACCUUAAUGCGGCAGCAGACAGCAGUUUCCUUUAUCUAAAUGCCGGCUUAUUACAGGUCAGCUGCACUUUCCUCAAACACAGUCAUUACGGAGCGAGAGCCUGUCAUUUUUUUUUUUUUUUUAAGCAGACUCUCUUACCCUCCACACGCCUGGCUUUUUCUGGACUGGCACACACUGUGGAGACACUGUGUUGUUUUUCUGUACCCCAGGCCUACAGUGUACAGAUGGACAGGUGGACAGACAGACUGACAGACGGACACGGCACUCAGAGGGACCCUUGAUUUCCUGUCUCUGGGAGCAAUAGAAAACAAAGACAACGCAAACCGUGACAAGCUCACGGCUCACGUCGUGUCAGCUCGAAGUGCAGCUGGGCAUAAUGAGGAAAUCAAGGCAGGAGGAGCAGCUUGUAGCAGCUGGGCACACUGUAGCCACCAUCAAGAAGGAGAAUGAGCCCAGGCUUCCUUCCCCUCAGCUCCCAUUCCGUGUUUUAUACAACCCAUAUCCCGUGCCCCGGGAAUGAAUGGUCCUGCCUACGGUUGAUGGGUCCUCCCACAUCAGUGGGCAAGACGAUGACAGCGAAGGGAAUCCCCCACAGGUAUGCUUAGAGACCCAUCCUCGGGUGAUUUCAGAUUUUCCCAAGCUGAUAGUUAACACACCGUCACACACAGACACCCCUCUGCCAGCCAGCUAAAGCCUUAAGGUCAGCGAAGAGUCAUCACAGCCCAUAGUCUACACAGGCAACAAGACAGGCGUUGACUCACUGCCUCCUUGGACCUGCACCAGUGAUCUGUGCAGGCAGCCGAGGCAUGCUGUCAGAGGAAGAUGUGGAGAUGAUAGGCCAGGCAGUGGCCUCAGCUGCCCGGGUCACUUUCUUCUGGGCCCAGGCUCCCUUGGUUCCUGUGUAUCUCUCUUUUUUUUUUUCCCAGAGGGAGGGAGGUGGCACGUUUUCAAAUGGAGUCUGAGUAGGAGCUCAGUGCCUUGCACAUUCAAGAGGACCAAGAGAACAGAGUUUUACAGACUGAAAACGAGAAGCAAACAGAACAGCGCCUCAUUCUUCAGAGUAAACAGAGCAAAGGCCAGCCGGUGGCAGAUGCAGCCUAGAGCUGGCUCUGUGCAGACAAAGCGCAGAUUAUGAAAACAAGACUCUAUCCACUGAAACCAUUGUCUUUAAUUACCGACCCAGGAGCUCCGUUUAACGCUUCCGUCCUGCACAAAUGUUUCGGGAGAAUGAUGCUCAUAAGUGGGAGUCGGAAAACAAGAUUGUUCCGUGGACUGGGUGGGGGUGGGGUGGGGUGAGGAAGCUGGGUACAGAUUUGUACACCCUUCUCUUGGUCCGCUUGGACAGUUCUUCCUUUAGAGCCCUGCAGAGGCCCCUCCUCUUGGCCUCCCCCACAUCAGUACUUGAUCACUUCUUCCGUGGUUUUAAAAAUCCACACAGUCAUCUUACUGCCGCUGCUGCACAGGCCACCGACGUCAGCUUCUUCUCUUACGCUAACAUUGGGGACAGGAAGUGGGCUCUGCCCAGGACUCAAGUUUGGAAGAUCAAAUAGCAACAGCAAACGUGGACUCUGUGGCCGGGUGCUCCGUCCGUCCCCCUCUCUUCCCACAGCCCGAGCAUACGAUGUGAAUGACUAAAUUGUGAAUGACUGAUGAACAGAUGUGGAAAUGGGCCCAAAUGGUUGCAUUUGGGUUUUAAAAGAGCUAGCCAAAGUCUGUCCUUGAGCCAACCAACUAGUGGAAGGAGAACAGGCCAUCUGUGAGAUGGCUCCUGAGAAACACUUGCAGCCGCAUGCUAGCACUAGCCUUCCCCUGGGCUCAUUGGUGCUUGAGAACCAAGAGGUCCUUCCUGGGGCUGCUGGACUACUCAAAUCUAGCCCUGGUGAGCAUGCGCACGGAAUCCUCAGGUCUAACUCUAUGUCUAACAAGCUGUGAGGUUCCGUUAAAGAUGGAGUAAGGUCUUGCAGGGCUGCUGCUUGUCUUCCCUCGAGACCACCACUGGCCCUCGGAACCCUGGGGCGAGUCUCCUUUCACAGGUUCUAAACAGAACCCAGCACAUAUCUCAACAACCCAGUGGGGUGCUGAGACCGCGGGGCGCUGAGCUACCAUAGAAGGUGCCAGGUUCCUGGAACUCUAACGAUGAAUUCUUGCUUUGGACCCCACCCGGGGUUUUUUUUUAAAGGUGAUACAAGGCACUGAAUAGUUUCUAAGAAACGGUAACGGCCCUGUCUGUGGGUAAAUGUUAAUGGAGAGUUGUUCAUUUGAUGUGGUGUUUGUAAUACUAGUGACCAUUUCUAAGAAUAAGACGGACUUUGGAUGCACUCUUCUGCCGUGGUGGUUAGCACUGCGAUUGGAUCUCCACCAUAGUGGUCAUGGUAUGAGGUUGGGAUCAUAGACAUCUGAGACAUAUUUGGUACAGAAAUUUUUCCUGAUAACUAGACGGUCAUCUCUUUCUUUAUUCUUUUGAUACACAUCUCUUUCUCUCUCUCUCUCUCUCUCUCUCUCUCUCUCUCUCUCUCUCUCUCUCAUACACACACACACACACACACACACACACACACACACUGAGGUUUCCUCUCCCUCCUCACCUCUUCCCCUAUUCACUCCCAAGGAUCACAGAUAAUGACUACGAAUGUAUGUGGCUACAUGUAUGUGACAUGAUUUGUGUGUGGUACUUUGUGAGUAUAUACACCGCACACCCACUGAUAUCUCAUUUCUUUAAACACAUAUUUCUUUUCAUCUCAAUAAAAUAUCUGUCUAAAAAGAUGUGUUUAGGCUGCUGAUCCCAGAGAUUUCUCCCUGGGAAAACAGACAAACAAGAGCCUCUCCGGCCCACAGUGCCAUUUAACUCCUGCAUUCUCAAGCCCGACUCCUUAAACUGUGCAUCAUGAAUCAAACACAAAUGGAAACAUGGCCCUUGCAAACAGGGGACAAAGCAAAAAGCUUUGAACAAGCAACACCCAGACGGUAAUUCACGAUUAUCCAAGUCACAAGUCUGAGGUGAUUCUCACAAUCCCUACCCCUGUAUCCACUUCACUGAAGCCUUGGAUCUAAGGAUCCUGCAUGUGUGUCUUGUGUAGUAAAUGACAUCACACCAUACAAGGCCAGCAAAUGCUCCUGAAAUACCUCAGUUCAGAUGCAGUUCUACCCCAUGCUGUGAGUUAUAUGCUUUGACUGUGUUUUCUGUUUUUAAACAAACAUAACGUUUUAAUUAUGGGAAGUGAAUGCUUUUUAUAUCUUCCUGCUGUCAUGUAAGUAUUGGGUUGGUAGACCUUUGGAUUGGAUUGGAUUAGAAUAUUUGAUUUUUUUUAAACAUAAUUUCUGUUUAUGUUGUUGACUUGAGUUUCAUGAAGAAAUUUGCUCAGUGAAUUUUGGCGUGAGAUUAGGGCAGAUUUUCUAGUAAUUGUUAGGUGGUCCUAACGUACCUCUCCCUUAUCAUGUUACACAUUUAUGAGAAAUAGUGUUGGGAGCAUUGUUGUUUGCAAACAGGAAGUAUCCAUGAACUCAGAAAAGCUUCUAAAUGCUUUAUGUGUCUGGGCGUAGUGACCACAACUUUAAUCCCAGCACUUGGGAGAUUGAGGCAACAAGAUCUCUAUGAAUUUGAGGCCAGCCUGGUCUACAUAGCAAGUUCCAAGCCAGAUGGACCUACACAGUGAGACCCUGUCAAAUAUUCAGCCAACUUUUAAUUCUUUAUGUGAAAACAAACAGGCAAAUCCGUCUCGUUAUUACGAAAAUGUGCUUUCUCACCUUUAAUAAACGGUAAGAGGUAACAAAGACUUGCGUUGGAACAGAUCCCACUAUGACUUCUUGUUAGUGUUUGAUUUUCACACCCACCUUUAUACAACUCUGUAUCUGAGGUCACACUGACGUUUACCAGAUGAAAAGAGGUUGCAGUCGGGGUGUCAUAUGUCAUGGUGCAGACGGCAACACCUCCUGUAUGUGCAUGUAGCGUGUGGCAUGUAGUGUAGAUCAUGAAACCAUAAAAGAGACCAUGAGAAGGGGACAGGAGGUCUCACACAGGGGGGGAGUGACAUGGAUGUAGGAGAGAUGUUGCCAGGAGGAAGAUGGGGCCAGGAGAGGGAACAGAAGGGAGAUCAUCCACAAAGAUAAAGUGUGCAUGGAAAUCCCACAAGGCAAGCACCACUGUGUGUGGUGACUUAAAGGGCCCGGUUUCUAAAACAAGGCAAGAGCCAUAGCUCAUCUGUGCCCUGUCUGUAACUCAGGCUGAACUUAGCAACACAGUCCUGGGACAAGGAGCCUGGGGAGAGUCAUGGCCAUCCCCUCUCCCCUCCCACCAAGCUUUCUUCACUCUCUCUGCUGGCCUGGAGCCCUUUUCCAUUAAUCAGUCCAGUCCUCAUCUGUUCCCGGGACCUGGAGUGGCCCAGAGGAAUUCCAAGAAUUCCUUUAAAGAGAGAACACGAGAUUUCCUGGUAACUCACAGGGGCCCUGCAUACUCAGCCAGGAUUGAGUUAGGAGCUGUGUGUGCACAGGAUUCAAAGGGCAUUCUUGAGCCUUACCCAGGAGUUAUAACUUAGCUUUUCCAGUGGUUGUGUAUUAAGUGGCAUAUGACUUCUUAAGAAAAGGUUGGGCCUUCAAAGUAAAGUUAAUUUUCUCUAGUAAAAACAAAAUGUCAAUGUUUCUAAGUAUUCGAAGCUAUCCACUCUGCCUUUAUCUUCCUUCAGUCUCUCCCAUGCUCCUGUCAACUAGGUUGCAGGAUAACCUAACAGCAGAGCGGGGGUUUCUCUGUGUCCAUCUCCCAGGAGGCCUCAUCCAAGAGGCCCCUAGGAGAGGAGAAGCUGGACUGGGUUCCUGUGUGGCCCGCUUUGGUGUCUACAUGCCUUCGACCACAUCCAUAGGGAGAGAGAAGUCCUCUCUCUAGCCCUUGGCCCUGCCCCUGACUGACAGCUUGUAAUUAAAAGUGUUCAGAAGCUUGGAGCCCUCCACAGGACAAGGGUAGACCUGACAUUUGAAUGUGCCUGGAAUAUGUGGGCUGUGAGCUGUGUGCCUCACGCUCCCUCUGCCCUCUGGCCUGAGUGCCUACUCUGGUAGGCCUUGCCAUGAAGGUGAAGUAAUUUGUUGUGGUCCGGGUGGUAGGAGGGGUGGUAACCUGACUUCCGGUAGGUGGCUGUGCCCUGCUGCACCCCCUCAUUCUGUCGUAGGCCCUUGCUUUGUUCCACUCCUGUGCAGGUCAUAGCAUUACAGCUUCUUCCUGGGUCCCUCACUCCCAUCUGUUGCUCCCCCUGGAUGUUUGGAGGUCUACCAGACCUUUACACUACAAUUGCUGGAUAGUGUAAUCCCUAAAAGACUCAGGUAUUCCUCCCCUCCCCCGCAUCAGCUCGUGCCUUCUUGUCUUUGUGUGGCUUCUCAUUGUUCAUUACAUUCAAGGCAACAAUGCAAAACUUCUUACUUCCAGAGAUCCCUGGUGAAUGUCCUCUGCUCUAGAAAGUACAGCCACAACCGUAUUACUAUUUUCAGAAACUGUGCUGCGGAUUGACUGAUUUGUCUUCUCAAAGUUCAUGUGCUGAAUUGAAGCCUCCCUCCCCCAACCCCCAGUACUGUAUUUAGGAGACAGGAUCUUCUGGGUUAAAGAGCCUUGCCCAGAAGCUAAUUCAAUAAGAUGGGGGCCCUUACUGAAAGAGGGAAGCUUUUACAGGAGCAGAUAUACAGAGGGAAGACAAAAAGGAAGGGAAGCAGCCAGUGAUGGAUCCUCAGCGCUCAGAAGGAGACCGAACUCCUGACACCCCAAGCUUAGAUCUCCGCAGAUCCUUGAGCUGUAAUAGAACCCAGUCUGCAGUAGCUCUUCCGGUGGUUUCUGAAGUUAUUCCGAAGAGCGCAAUAAACAGGGCAAUAAAUAGCAAAGUACCCCUGUGCUAUCUGCCCUUAAAAGCAGAAUGCUUUGACUAGCAUCUGAGUUAGCCCCCCACACACACACACACUUCAUGGGAUCUAUAGAUUGGAGCUGGGGACUGACCCUGCCCAGGAUGAGCACCACUACUGAGACACCAGGGUCUCUCGCGCUUGCUCUCAUUGGUGUGUUACUCUCUUCCUGUCCAGCUCCUUGAAAUACCAACCAUCUGGAUCCCAGCCCUGCGUGUCCCCACUGUGAAUUGUCCUUGUGUCUCAAAUGUCAGCAGCAUCGUCACCACAACGUAAGCUCUCCAAGUCUCUCCGGUCUCCAAAAGCACAAAGGGUGCCGAAGGGAGAAGGUGAUCUCUUGAGGCAAGCCAGGGCCUCAGAUCGGAAACGCACAUACGGCUGUUACUUCUGGCAGCCAGAGGAGUGCAAUCUGAACAAAGCCAGCCUGGUGCUGUGUGCAGUCCUUUCAUGAAUAGAUCUCUGUUCCCAGUGCACAGCCGAGUGUGGCUUAAGCGCCAGCCUGGCUCCCUGUGCUGUGGGUCAGGGGUGGUGGCAGCAGAUUAGUGGGGGCUGGUUCCCAAGGACUGUGUGAGAACGGGACAUUUUAGCUCCCCCCCCCCCCGCACGCCUUCAUCCCUCAGUAGGUAGCUAAGGGUUUUUCCAUUUGGCAGACCGUGUUGGUAAGUAUCUGUAGACACUAUACUGUAGCAAUGUACUGUAGCAAUCUUAACUUGGUAACAGAGGUAGGAUCCUGUAGACAAUGUAGCAAUGGCUUCCCCUUCUGAUCCUCCAGUGGUCUUUAGGAGUGGGUUUUCCUGAGCUACCGUCUCUUUUAGCUGAUAUGCACUGUUUUUCCUGAGGAUCCACCUGUUGUGUGUACAGAUCACCAUACUAAUUUAUUAGGGAAACCACAAUAGGUGUUUAAUGUUUUUAAAUGAUCAAAGAAAGCCACCCCGCCCCGCACCCCUUCCCCUGUUGUUCUGGAAAGUAAAAGGUCUCGCCAAGUCUGAUCUUCAGGCCAGCGAUUGUUCAAAACCCUUCCACCGCUCUUGUGUAUCUGUGGGAUUCUGUCGGGAGAGAUGAGUAAACAUCCGUAGGCCUGCACGGUGAACAGCGUGGUCAUGUGACUCCCUAUUUAGAAGUGUUCCAGCAUAAGAACGUGGAGCCCCCUCCCCCACCCCACUUUUUCCUGCCAACGGCCUGGCUUUACUGUGCAUACCCCUCACUUACACUAUUGUACUUUCCCAAUAGUUUCAGGUGAGAAACUGAAGCUGCCCCAGACCUCAGUGGGCAGAGGGAGAGAGAGCUGCACGGACUGGGACUACCUGAUGGAGGGCGGUGAAUGCUACAGGAGGCAUCACCCCUAGCCUAAGGGCCACCUCUUUACCCACCAAUGCUCCUUUUCACGUUGCUCAACCUGGAUCCUCAGGAUUUAAGACCAGACGGGAUUCACAGCCUCCUGGCCAGUUGAUAGUUUUUACAAGAGACAGACUUCCAGUUGAGGGGACACAUGGACUUGUCCAAGGCCACACUGACGCUGUGGACUUGGGUGUUACCAGCAGAAGCCAAAUGCCAGCAGCAUUUAUAGUAGGCAGCAGUGCUGUACCUGUCGGUUAGAAUAGUAUUGCCGUGUGAAAGACAUUUUCUGUCCUUAUCAUUCGACCCCUGAGAGCCUAGGUCAGAGCCUGGAGCCCAGGGGUUGAGUGAGUGUCCUUAAAGCACCCGGGGAAAAACGUCUUUUGUCUUCAGGAUCACUUUAAAGUGAUUUAAUACUCACUUGAGCAGACAAAUACCCUCAGCCCUUGAACUGUGUGGUGGCCGCGGUGGGGAUGGUGUUUGCUUUCCUUCAGGUGCCUCCAUCUAAAGACUGCAAAGGGUUGCGGCGAGGAAUAUUAGAACCAACGGGGAGAUGGAGCUCCAGAAUCCUCAUGAGUCUUCUCUCCGGGAUGCAGGCCUUGGCAUCGUCCGAGGGGAGCCAUGGUGAGAUGGUAUGAAUCCGGGGCCUGUUAACGAAAUCUUCACUCAACAGCUCUUGGGGAUGAUACUUCGGGCCACUAGGUCCCCCAGUACAGGCAUAAUCCAGUCACAGAUCCGAAGAGAUCAAUCGAGCUUCGCAAAGCUUGUUCAGCUGUCCUGCCUCUGGGAGAAGGCAUGAGAUCCCACCACCCAUAGUGGGUGUGGUCGUCUGCAGAGCCAGUGCCACACGACUGUGGUCUGGGGAGAGUUUGAAAAAGGCAAAUGGAUGGAACUGGAAAAUAUCAUCCUGAGUGAGGUAACCCAAUCAUAAACACACAUGGUAUGCACUCAUUGAUAAGUGGAUAUUAGCCCAAAUGCUCAAAUUACCCUAAAUGCACAGAACACAUGAAACUCAAGAAGGAUGACCAAAAUGUGAAUGCUUCACUCCUUCUUUAAAAGGGGAACAAGAAUAACCUUGGGAGGGAAUAGGGAGGCAAAGUUUAGAACAGAGACUGAAGGAACACCCCUUCAGAGCCUGCCCCACAUGUAGCCCAUACAUAUACAGCCACCCAAUUAGACAAGAUGGAUGAAGCAAAGAAGUGCAGGCUGACAGGAACCAGAUAUAGGUCUCUUCUGCGAGACACAGCCAGAAUACAGCAAAUACAGAGGCGAAUGCCAGCAGCAAACCACUGAACUGAGAAUGGGACCCCCGUUGAAGGAAUCAGAGAAAGGACUGAAAGAGCUUGAAGGGGCUUGAGACCCCAUAUGAACAACAAUGCCAAGCAACCAGAGCUUCUAGGGACUAAGCCACUACCCAAAGACUACACAUGGACUGACCCUGGGCUCCAACCGCAUAGGUAGCAAUGAAUAGCCUAGUAAGAGCACCAGUGGAAGGGGAAGCCCUUGGUCCUGCCAAGACUGAACCCUCAGUGAAUGUGAUUGUUGUGGGGAGGGUGGUAAUGGGGGGAGGGUGGGAAGGGGAACACCCAUAUAGAAGAGGAGGAGGAGGGGCUAGGGAGAUGUUGGCCUGGAAAAGGGGAAAGGGAAUAACAAUUGAAAUGUAAAUAAGAAAUACCCAAUUUAAUAAAGAUGGAGGGAAAAAAAAGAAACACUUUAAAAUUCAAAAAUAAAAAAAAGAAGAAAAGAAAGAAAAAAGAAAAAGAAAGAAAACCUGGGUCAUUAAAAAUAACCAAACAGUAAAACCCAAGUCCAGAGCAUGCAGCUUAGCUCACUUGCACAGCACAGGGGCAUCAUUAGUCUCUCAGCUUAGGGAGGAGACCCUGAGAUAACACCACGCAGUGUGACACCGGGGCCUUGAGUGUCUGGGGUCCUUAGAGCCACACCCAGCAAUAAGCAGGGUUUGAAGGUGACACAGACAGACCUCGAAGAUGUCCUAUACUGUGCUCAGAGUAGCAAGAGGUCCCUGUCCCUGUUCACUCUGUCUUCCUUUCAGUGUUAAAGAAUUUGAGGAAUCCUCUGCGUGGAGAUUGUGAGCUGCCCUCCCUCCGCUCUGCCUCCUGCGUUGAUUAAAAUAACCCAUUUAUGGUUUUGAAAUUCCGAUUUCAUCUACACAAACACGGCUCUGUGGUCUACCGAAAGUGUUCUAAGGACAAAGCUGCCACUUUUCAGCUAUACAUAGGCACUCAUUGUUUUGUUUGUUUUUCCAAGCUAGCGGAAACUGUUUCCCAGAUGAUGUGGGAGCCCUGUCCUGAGGAAUGGAGCAGACCUCUCCAGCAGACCUCAUGCCCUGGCUCCUGUGGACCCUGCUGUAGCCCGCCGGGCCGCAUCUCAAACUCUCCACCUCGGUCUCCCACCUAGUCCUCUGCCUGGGCCUGCUAAUCUCUCCCAAAGUGUUCGCUGAUAAUUUAAAGUGUGAGAACUCCCAGGAGGACUGCAUUUCCAAAGGGGCCUCUGAGAUAGAAAAUGCUCCCAUGAAAGGAGAUGGAGGAGAGAGGGGAGGCUGUUAUUUUUUAUCCUGCUCACAAGCUGAGUUUCAGGCCAUUUCAUUCCCAUCCAGUUAUGGCCCCCACCCACCCACAAAACCCGCCCGCCAUGGACACUGUGGCUCCUUCCAUCCUGAAGGUUCUCGGUACUAUUCCUUCCCUGGGGCGUACAGAAUCCAUCACGGUCAUUCCAGCCUGAAAUCUGGUUUAUCCACUUGUGUCUCAGCUACAAAAGACCUGAUUUCAUCUAAAACAGAAUCUUGGAGCCGGGCUGACGCCACCCUGAUAAACACGAGCGUGGGAAAGACAACCGUGGGCUCUGUGACUGCCCAUGAGGGUAGGCUUCGCUUUCAGAAACAGAAGCCCACUUCUUAGGCUUUGAGCUUAAAAUACUAUUACAACAUCCGUCACGUGUUCGCUCAGAUAUUUGGCCACGCUUUGGGAGGAUCCUCCUGCACACCCGGCUUUCCUCCCAGCGGGUUUACUCUGCCGGAAUCUGCGUCAGUGGCACCUUUGCAACAGAUCACUCUACGUGCAUAUGUGUGUGCUAUGUCAAUGUUGUGAGGACAAUAGCGCCCAGUGAUUGUUCAAAAGUUCCUGGGACAAUUUCUCAAGUCAUCUGACACAGCACAUUGCACAUGCACCUAGGAAUAGAGACACAGCAGCUCCAGUCAGGGAGGUUUCUCUUCCCUGUGUCAUCUUACUUCAGUAUUUAUGACAUCUCAGUCAGGGUGUCAGCACACCACGUAGGGAGCAAGCUCUUUACGGGAUCCUCUUGCUUUCAGGGUGGUGAUGUCCGGCUUGGACUUGGCCAACACCACAGGCAACCCACGUGAUGACCGUGUUCUCUCGAAGGAAGCUUUGCCCCAUGUUUGAGCUAAAGAAGAUAGACCUAAAAGGCCCUCGAGUAGGACUACGGACUACCCCAAGCGAGGGACACACAGCAGCUAAUGUCCGACAGUCCCUGCUAAUUCUUGGUAUUCAUCCCUAUCCCUAGGGGAGAGUCUGUUUGAUAGGAAGCAGAAGUGGUAUCAAGUCCUCUUGAACUUGAAGAACUUUGGUGAAUGAUUGAUGGUUACUAGGCUUUCUUUCAUGGUCAUCCUCAGCAGCAGCAGCUGCAACCGCAUUUCCAUCAUCACCACCUGUGUUAUUAUCACGUCAUCAUCAUCCUUGUCAUCAUUAUCAUUAUGAUCCUCACCACCACCCUCACCAUCCUCACCACCACCCUCACCAUCCUCACCACCACCACCAUCACCAUCAUCCUUACUACCACCAUCACCAUCACUAUCACCAUCAUCAUCUUCUUCACCACCACCAUACUCACCACCACCACCAUCCUUACCACCACCCUUACCAUCCUCACCACCACCACCAUCACCAUCAUCCUUACUACCACCAUCACCACCACUAUCACCAUCAUCAUCUUCUUCACCACCACCACCAUACUCACCACCACCAACACCACCAUCACCACCACUAUCACCAUCAUCAUCUUCUUCACCACCACCAUCCUCACCACCACCAUCACCACCAUCACCACCACCAUCUAUCUCUCCUGCUAGGGAUUAAACUGUCUUGAUAUUUUCUUUUUAUUAAUUACCAUCGGAUUGGUUUUGAAUCAGGGUCUUGUAGAGCCUGACACUUGUCUUGUAGAGCAGCCUCUAACUCUUGACCUGCUUCUGACUCUCCAGUGUCCACCAAGUGUCCACCAAAUGGUGACAUUUCUUCUCUUCCCAUUUUUAUUUCUUCUGUCUUUUCCACCUGAAGAAUACAUUGUGCUGCAGGCUGGGGCACUUCUGUUUCCCAGAAGCAAGAAGGAGGCACCUGUUUGGUGCCGUGUUUUACUGUUGGUGAAAGGAGGGCAGGGGUGCCUAUGGCAGUUUAGGGGGUUACACCCCAAGUUGCCUGCCCACAUUCACAAGCCUUUUGGGACCCCAACUCCCCCAUUUCUGGACCAUUGUCUUCUAAGCCAACUUUGAGGAACGUGUUCAUUUCCCAGUGGAUAUUGGGCUUCCAAUUUAAAACCAAUUUUAAUGAGCAGCUAACCACACACAGAAGCAAAUGGCAUAAAAGACACGCCAUUACCCACUGUUGGCAAUAACCAGCUCUCUUCUCUGCCUGUCCCACUUGGUGUGUUAUCUCCUACUCAGGGUUAAAGUAGGUAAGUGAAGUGCCUGGGAGAACAGGCCAGUCUUGAUGUGUGUGUGUGUGUGUGUGUGUGUGUGUGUGUGUGUGUGUGAGAGAGAGAGAGAGAGAGAGAGAGAGAGAGAGAGAGAGAGAGAGCUCUGUAGAAGGGCUUGUUUUCUAACCAGUAAGACUUCAAGUAGCUCCUCGAAGCAGUACCAUCUGCAGUAUGUCCCCCAAUUCCCACUCUUUGUCUCGCUUUUAAGCUGAAUGACUUCAUGUGUGUAUUGGCAAGAUGUCAGAUGUCUUUAUGCACACAGAAAAAAUGUAGCCCACUCUCUGGAAGUCAUAAUCUCCAGAUGGCUAUCACUGUGGGAUAAAUGGUGCCUGUUCAGCAGUGGUUGGUAGUCACAACUGGUCACUCUGGGGUCACCUGAGGCAAGUCACCAGCCAAUUAUAUGAGGUUAUAAUUUACCCUCCUUUCCUCCUCUUUUCUUUUGUUUGGAGACUAGGUUUCCCUACCUAUCUCAGGGUGGCCUUGAACUUAGGAUCCUCGGCCUCCAUAUCGCACAUGCUGGGAUCACAGGUUGGUUCCUGAAGCCCAGUUCGUUCACUGACUUAUUAAGCCCAUAUUGAACAGUGACCCUAUCAGGCACUGUGGAGGGCACAAGGCCAGUGGGGUCCCUCUUUCCCAGUCUGUGAAGAAUGAGUCAGGUCACGUGAUGGCGUGUGAUGGUUCCUUUCACACGUUGGCACGCUGCAAUUGCAAUGACCCAAGCUGGGAGCUCACCUGAGGGGUUGCCUCGAGUGCUCUCACUGAGGUGGGAAGACCCCUGUCUUAGCUGCUUCUCUAAUGCUAUGAUAAAACACCUUGGCUAAGGCAAUUUACAGAAAACGGUUUAUUUGGGCUUACAGUUCCAGAGGAAUGAGAGUCCAUCACCAUGAAGGCGAGGGAAACCUGGAAGCAGGCAGGGAAGCAGGUGGGCAGACAUGGCAGUAGGACGGUCCACGAGCAGAUUGAUCACACCUGGAACCACGGACAGCAAACACCAAAGUAUCAACUGAGAAUAGCGUGAGGGUUUUAAAACCCCAAAGCCAGCUCCUAGGGACAGGCUUCUUCAGCAAGGCCACAAGUCAUGAGCGUAGAAUCAUUUGUAUUAUCUUGAAGAACAGCUACUUUUCUUUAACCACCAAGCCAUUUCUCCAGUCCCUUAAAAAAACCACGUCUUUAAGACUUCAAAUGCUAGUGUUCCAAGGCCCUGACUGGUGUCUGAGGCAAUGGUUUUUUUUUGUUUUUUUUUUUUUUUUUUUAAAUCUUAUCAACCAGAGAUUUUGAGGUAGGAAGUUCCAAUCUCAGUAUUCUGUUACCGAGGAUGAGGAGACCGGGUAUAGCAUUCAAGCUCGCCGUGCUGUGCUGCACUGAGAGAGACAGAGAAAGCAUGACCUGGUGUCUUUGGGGUCAGCCCUCCACUAGAUACCUGAAGACAGAACCUGCAGAAUUCAGUCAAGAUGAGGUGGAGAGCAACUGAGGCAGGCAGUGGAGGAAACACAAGGUCUCUAAUGAGCCUGUGCUGACAGCAAACUCCCAGCUGAGGCGUGGAGGGCAGUCCUCUCAGACUGCUGGAAGCCAAACUCCCCGCUAGGUCCCAGGCACCCAGCCAACCUCUUCCGGCUAUGUUUCCUCAUCUGUGAAAUGGGGUGUGUGGCCUGCCGCGCUUCCCGGUGCGCGAGGCUCUGGCAUGAAUGCCUGGCAGGCUGCCAGCAGCGUGCAUUUGCUGUUAUUUUUAUACAAGCGAAUUUGAUAACAAGCUAAUUACCGAGAGUCAGCUUCCUGUGAAAUCUUACUUGUCAAGUUCUGCCCUUGAUUCCGUUUAUUCAUUUACUCAGGAUAAAAUACACAUUCUAACUAGCUGUUUCUCCUUCAGGUGUUCAUGAAUAUUCAUCAAGAGCCUGCCACCUAAGGACAGGGGCUGGUGCCACCUGCAGAGCAGCCUCCCUGCCUGACUCUGUGGUGUAGUGUGUGUGUGUGUGUGUGUGUGUGUGUGGUGUGUAUGUAUGUAUGUAUGUGUGUGUAUGCAUGUGUACAUAUGUGUGUGGUAAAUAAUGUGUACACAUGCACAUGUAUAUGUGUGUGCAUGUAUGUGUGUGUGCAGAUGUAUGUGUAUGUAUUAUGUAUAUGUAUGUGUGGUGUGCAUGUAUACGUGUAUGGACUGCCUAGUGUGCAUGUGUGGUGUAUACUGUGUGUGUGUGGUGGAUGUUGUGCAUGCAGUGUGCGUGGCACAUUUUGUGUAUGUAGUGUGUGUGUAUGUGGUAUAUGUGUGAAUAUGGUGUAUAUGUGGUGUGUGUGUACAUGUAUGUGUGUGUAUGGUGUAUAUGUGGUAUAUGAUGUGUGUGUAUAUGUAUGUGUGUGUGGUAUACGGUGUGUGUGAACAUGUAUGUGUGUGUAUGGUGUAUAUGUGGUAUAUGGUGUGUGUGAACAUGUAUGUGUGUGUAUGGUGUGUGUGUAUGGUAUAUGGUGUGUGUGAACAUGUAUGUGUGUGUAUGGUGUGUGUGUGUUGGUAUAUGGUGUGUGUGAACAUGUGUGUAUGUGGCAUGUUGUGUUAUCUUGAACAUCAUUCUCACCAACCAAGGAGGGAAGAGUAGCUGGGUAACAGUGAGGAGAAAUCUACAGUGAAGCUGAAGGGCACAGGGCUCACUUGCUGUGCUGCUGUGGGUUCUGUUCUGCUGGCUGCGCUGGGUUCAGUAGCCGACACUCACAGACUGGCCUCUUUCUCUGGAGAGCAGGGAAGGACAGGUCCUGCUUGUGGCUUCCAUGUGGGAAGGAUGCUACAGUCCACCAGCAUGGCUCCCAUGGUGUUCUCUUCCCAGGGCCCAUAGGACGUGCUGACGUAAGUGUUGUCUUUAUACUAAAUCCCCUAUUUUCUUAAAACUGUGCAGUUUCCAUUCACAUCCCAAGAGGACUGCUGCCUCCUCUUCGGGUUCUAACGAGGGUUUCUGUGGCAGCUGCCAGGCACCCCGCCCCAUUUCUCCUGUGACAAGAAGUACGUGUCUUUGCAUCAGGUUGCAUCAGAUGAUGUCAAAAGGCUGGAGGAAAACAAAGGGCUUACCCAGGGGAGUGAGGCCGUAGAGACCUCUGAGGAGACCCAGGGAGCCCAGGCUGAGUUUCUAGCAGGCACUGCCUCCCACAUUGUAGGCAGUGGCCGCUUAUUUCCCCGUCUAACAAUGCUUUGGAUGUGCCUCAGUAAGCAGAGGUCCUGUGUAGCAUGCACGGAUCCCGUUUCCAUCCCCAGCA
This is a non-coding RNA of Rattus norvegicus (Norway rat), 29972 nucleotides long. NCBI's taxonomy places the organism in Eukaryota, Metazoa, Chordata, Mammalia, Rodentia, Muridae. The record is from RefSeq and is a predicted model, not a curated record.